This 825-nucleotide ribosomal RNA is filed under the name Escherichia coli. RNAcentral describes it as "partial 23S ribosomal RNA". It matches the Rfam family "Bacterial large subunit ribosomal RNA", at positions 419 to 1245 of the family's 2925-position model. The record is from RNAcentral. Lineage: Bacteria; Pseudomonadati; Pseudomonadota; Gammaproteobacteria; Enterobacterales; Enterobacteriaceae.
GGGACACGUGGUAUCCUGUCUGAAUAUGGGGGGACCAUCCUCCAAGGCUAAAUACUCCUGACUGACCGAUAGUGAACCAGUACCGUGAGGGAAAGGCGAAAAGAACCCCGGCGAGGGGAGUGAAAAAGAACCUGAAACCGUGUACGUACAAGCAGUGGGAGCACGCUUAGGCGUGUGACUGCGUACCUUUUGUAUAAUGGGUCAGCGACUUAUAUUCUGUAGCAAGGUUAACCGAAUAGGGGAGCCGAAGGGAAACCGAGUCUUAACUGGGCGUUAAGUUGCAGGGUAUAGACCCGAAACCCGGUGAUCUAGCCAUGGGCAGGUUGAAGGUUGGGUAACACUAACUGGAGGACCGAACCGACUAAUGUUGAAAAAUUAGCGGAUGACUUGUGGCUGGGGGUGAAAGGCCAAUCAAACCGGGAGAUAGCUGGUUCUCCCCGAAAGCUAUUUAGGUAGCGCCUCGUGAAUUCAUCUCCGGGGGUAGAGCACUGUUUCGGCAAGGGGGUCAUCCCGACUUACCAACCCGAUGCAAACUGCGAAUACCGGAGAAUGUUAUCACGGGAGACACACGGCGGGUGCUAACGUCCGUCGUGAAGAGGGAAACAACCCAGACCGCCAGCUAAGGUCCCAAAGUCAUGGUUAAGUGGGAAACGAUGUGGGAAGGCCCAGACAGCCAGGAUGUUGGCUUAGAAGCAGCCAUCAUUUAAAGAAAGCGUAAUAGCUCACUGGUCGAGUCGGCCUGCGCGGAAGAUGUAACGGGGCUAAACCAUGCACCGAAGCUGCGGCAGCGACACUAUGUGUUGUUGGGUAGGGGAGCGUUCUGUA